RNAcentral lists this long non-coding RNA (609 nucleotides) under Medicago truncatula (barrel medic). Its description in RNAcentral is "lncRNA gene35512". Lineage: Eukaryota; Viridiplantae; Streptophyta; Magnoliopsida; Fabales; Fabaceae. The record is from RNAcentral.
GUAUGACACUAAUAUAUUCAAUUGUUGCUUGUUAAUUUUAUUUUUUUUAAGAAAACAUGAUAUUGAACAUUUUUUUUUUUUUUAAGGAAACAUGCUUAUAGCAUUUCAUUGAUAAUUAAGAAUUCAAUACAUUCGAGUAUAUCAUAAUAAAUAGUGGAACUAACUUAGAACAUGACUUCUCUUGCAAGUACAUGAGCAACCGCGUUGGCUUGUCGCCUAACAAACUCCACACUAAAGUUAGAAAAGAAAGAAGUAAAAAUAGUUAGAGAGAAAUUAUAAGUGUAAUAACUAAUAAGAUAUACUUUUUUACCUUAACUAGAGCGUGCAUUUACACCAACCAUUAACGCACUUAAAUGCAAUUUCACGAGGACAAGAAAAUAUUUUAUAACAGUCGUGGUCAUCGACACAUUGUCCUGUAGUGUAAAAUAAAAUAAAUACAUAUAAUUAAAAAUGGUAGAAUGAUUAUGUAUAAGAUAAACAAACGAAAAUAUGAGAAUGAGUUUACUAUGUCUAUUUUCUCCACCGAUCCUUUUUCCACUGUCGACUACAACAAGAAAAAGAGAAACAAAAAAGAUCACAACAUAAACAAACUUGUAAAUUUCAAUCAUU